UAGAAAGUCCACAGAAACUUGUGUC
RNAcentral lists this non-coding RNA (25 nucleotides) under Mus musculus (house mouse). Lineage: Eukaryota; Metazoa; Chordata; Mammalia; Rodentia; Muridae. The record is from RNAcentral.